CGAAGCUUUCAAAGAUUAUAAAACCAGUUACUGGUGAUAAAUACAAAUAUGUUAUUACACAAGUUAAUUGAACAAUCCGUUUGCGUGACACCCAUUUUCCCUAAAGAUAAAUUAACUCGGCAGCCUGACAAGAGAAACAAGAGUGAUCUCAAGAACAAACCAACAAUGGAUGAAGUAGCAAACAGAUAAACAAUCUGUACACACUAUUGAUCAAAUACUAGAAUAGACCAGAGCUCCGUCGCCAAUUAAUGAGAAAGCAUUACAGAUACUCUCUUCUUAGUUUCAACGAAUCCACUCAGCCGAACUCAAUAGAGCCUCAAUUCCAACUUCAUAGUAAUCAUAAUUUAUGUGCUGAUAUAUCAAAUUUUCUUUGACUUUUACUAGACACUCUCCCACACCAAUCCUGCGCCGGAAUACAGGAGGACGAUAGGGAGUGCGAUUAACACUCCCCUUAACAGUGACAUCCGUGGGUUACCACAUUAUAGCGCCCACCAUAUAACCUGUUCAUAAUUAAUCUGCAGGUUAACAGAAACCAAAUUUCCUAAAUAGAAAAGUGUACUUCACUGUUGGGUAGGUAGGAAUCACAAGAAAUAAGAGAAGAAAUGAAGAACCUCUACCCUAUCAAUGGAAAAAGGCCCACAAUGUAUCACAUUUCUUGCACCUUAUGCUAAAAUUUACAGUCUCUCAUCUAUCGAAAACCAGACAAUGCAAAGAAGAUAACAACAUUCAUACACAGUUCUGAUCAAAUUUCAUGCAAAACCCCAACAUAAAAUUGCCCAACACCCCUUUUGAGAAGAUAUAUUUCAUUCCCAAUGUAAAUAUUAACAAUUCAAUUUCAACCCCAUUUUACAAUUUAAUAGUAGAAUCUUUAACGGGUAGAUAAAUCAAUCAUAGCGUACAAAUUAUAUGCAACGAGUGGCAUCAAAUUCAUAAAUUGAUACCCAAACUCAGAAGAGAAGAGAGAGGAAUGAAAGGUACUUACGAGACCCUGUGGAGAAAAUCUGGCAAAACUUGGAUGAUAGGGGGAUGAUUUGCUGGCGAUGGUACAGAGCAGAGAAGGGUGCAGAAAAUGCGAGAAAGCUGACGGAUUGUUUUUGAAACUGGGUUAUGGCGUUACGCGAUGGCCUUAUGAGUUCUGACGCCUGUGGGUGUGCGCCUGACCUCAACGUCCUGGGCUUCUCUCAAUGAUUACGACAGCAACUCGCAUCCCCGAUAAUAAAAAAUAAAAAAAAUAAAAAAAAUUCUACAUCGGGUCAUCAAUUUCUAUUUUUAUUUAUUUUCUAAAUGGUAUAGCCGGGCGGCUAUACUGGGAUUUUCUAUAUUAAACACGGUAUAGCCGGUCGGCUUUACUAUUUUUACAUGUGGCGGAAUGUGCCCA
This 1378-nucleotide long non-coding RNA is filed under the name Prunus persica (peach). Its description in RNAcentral is "long non-coding RNA (PPER_LNC008429)". The record is from RNAcentral. Lineage: Eukaryota; Viridiplantae; Streptophyta; Magnoliopsida; Rosales; Rosaceae.